UACUAUGUGGAACCCAGAAGAUCCACGUCUCCUGGACGUAGAAUCAGCGUGUUGGGCAUCAUUGUUUUCCUGCAAGGGUUGUGAAACUUUUCAAAGAACCAUCUGCCUUUGGGGAAGCAUUUCUGAGUUUGUCCAUUGUCAACAAUCUGUCCUUGGAUACCAUCAUGUAACAGCUGUUGCCAAGUGGAGCCGCUGUUGAAUCUGAGGCGCCUCUGGAUCCUGAUGAAACAUUGUCUUCCUUGGUUCUCCAUCAGGUAUACAGUUUUAAACCAUCACUGCAUCUCAAGUCUUCUGAAAACACCAUGUGCAUGGUCCAUGGUAUUUACAAGCAGCCAUCUACUAAGUUCCAUUGUAGGAUGUUUUCAGAUACUUGAAUAAACAAAUCUUUAACUGAAAAAAAAA
Molecule: long non-coding RNA, 402 nt
Filed under: Rattus norvegicus (Norway rat)
Lineage: Eukaryota; Metazoa; Chordata; Mammalia; Rodentia; Muridae
Description: long non-coding RNA NONRATT022775
Source: RNAcentral